UAGGGCACAGGAUAAGAGAAAUUGUCAUCAAAAAAGAAAAAGAAAGAUACAGACAAUUGUUCAUUUUGCUUGAAAAAUGUUCUUUCCCAAGCAAUCUGAUAAUCAUAAUAAUUGUAUUUAAUAUUUUGGUUCAUUUGUCCAAUUGUCAUGACCAUUUCUCUCAUUUUGUGAGGUUCAAGACCCCAAUCUGUAAGAGUCCAUACUUUCAAAAUUCGAACUUUACAAUAUUUUAAUUUAUUUGGUAUUUGUGGAUCAUAAUUAUUAUGAAUAAUAACAGAGCAAGUAUUUUGAGAAUGGUCUCAUAGAAAUGUUGUGAUUUUUGAAAAUUGUCUGGUAUAUAAAAAUGACUUUUUGGAAAAACA
RNAcentral lists this long non-coding RNA (362 nucleotides) under Manihot esculenta (cassava). RNAcentral's name for it is "long non-coding RNA (MESC_LNC001579)". Lineage: Eukaryota; Viridiplantae; Streptophyta; Magnoliopsida; Malpighiales; Euphorbiaceae. The record is from RNAcentral.